UUCCGGUUGAUCCUGCCGGACCUGACUGCUAUCGGAUUGGUACUAAGCCAUGUGAGUCGUUGUAGCAAUACAAGGCAUACGGCUCAGUAACACGUAGUCAAUCUAACCUAUGGACGGGGAUAACCUCGGGAAACUGAGGAUAAAACCCGAUAGAUCAUAAUGCCUGGAACGGUUUAUGGUUCAAAUGAUUCGUCGCCGUAGGGUGGGACUGCGGCCUAUCAGCUUGUUGGUGAGGUAAUGGCCCACCAAGGCUAUUACAGGUACGGGCUCUGAGAGGAGUAGCCCGGAGAUGGGUACUGAGACACGGACCCAGGCCCUAUGGGGCGCAGCAGGCGAGAAACCUUUGCAAUGUGCGCAAGCACGACAAGGUUAAUCCGAGUGUUUCCUGUUAAAGGAAUCUUUUGUUAGUCGUAAAAUCACUAUUGAAUAAGGGGUGGGCAAGUUCUGGUGUCAGCCGCCGCGGUAAAACCAGCACCUCAAGUGGUCAGGAUGAUUAUUGGGCCUAAAGCAUCCGUAGCCUGUUCUGUAAGUUUCCGGUUAAAUCCAUUAGCUCAACUAAUGGGCCGCCGAAAAUACUGCAGAACUAGGGAGUGGGAGAGGUAGACGGUACUCGGUAGGAAGGGGUAAAAUCCUUUGAUCUAUUGAUGACCACCUGUGGCGAAGGCGGUCUACCAGAACACGUUCGACGGUGAGGGAUGAAAGCUGGGGGAGCAAACCGGAUUAGAUACCCGGGUAGUCCCAGCUGUAAACGAUGCAAACUCGGUGAUGCGCUGGCUUGUGGCCAGUGCAGUGCCGCAGGGAAGCCGUUAAGUUUGCCGCCUGGGAAGUACGUACGCAAGUAUGAAACUUAGAGGAAUUGGCGGGGGAGCACCACAAGGGGUGAAGCCUGCGGUUCAAUUGGAUUCAACGCCGGA
This 914-nucleotide ribosomal RNA is filed under the name uncultured archaeon. Its description in RNAcentral is "bacterial SSU rRNA". It matches the Rfam family "Archaeal small subunit ribosomal RNA", at positions 1 to 922 of the family's 1478-position model. The record is from RNAcentral.